UCAUAUAGCAUUUGGAAAGCAGCUAUUCCCACCUUGUCCUCAUCCUGUGUAUGUUGAUUAUCGCCGCGAUGCAACCAAAUUAACGGAUCUGUAGAACCAUCAAAAGUAGAAAAAUCCAGUUUGGUAUACUUGGGAACCACCCCACUUCCAGUAAGUGGCUGAAAAUUGGUUCGCUUCUAUUGAGUUUGUCCCGAUAGAUUGUGGCUGCUAGCAGUUCCAUCAACCUCCUUAUUAGUGCUACGAUUCAGUCCAGGCAUCAGCUUCUCCAAUUGAAGCGAUAGUUGUUGCAUAUGGCUACCCAACCUUCUCUCCACUUCCGCAACCCUAGCGUCAUUCAUAGCUUGUGCCUAUUGUAGUAAAGAUUUCAAUUCUUCGUUCUUGCUAGUAUAUCCCAUCGUGUUUGGCUCUGAUACCAAUUUAUUAAGGUCCCGUG
Molecule: long non-coding RNA, 433 nt
Filed under: Nicotiana benthamiana
Lineage: Eukaryota; Viridiplantae; Streptophyta; Magnoliopsida; Solanales; Solanaceae
Description: long non-coding RNA (NBEN_LNC020264)
Source: RNAcentral